Molecule: ribosomal RNA, 1485 nt
Filed under: Mesoplasma corruscae
Lineage: Bacteria; Bacillati; Mycoplasmatota; Mollicutes; Entomoplasmatales; Entomoplasmataceae
Description: 16S ribosomal RNA
Rfam family: Bacterial small subunit ribosomal RNA
Source: RNAcentral
ACGCUGGCGGCAUGCCUAAUACAUGCAAGUCGAACGGGAGUGCUUGCACUCCAGUGGCGAACGGGUGAGUAACACGUAUCUAACCUACCUUUUAGUGGGGGAUAACUUUUGGAAACGAAAGAUAAUACCGCAUAUUAAUAUCAUUAUCGCAUGAGAAGAUAUUCAAAGAUCCGUUUGGAUCGCUAAAAGAUGGGGAUGCGGCGUAUUAGUUAGUAGGCGGGGUAAUGGCCCACCUAGACAAUGAUACGUAGCCGAACUGAGAGGUUGAUCGGCCACAUUGGGACUGAGAUACGGCCCAGACUCCUACGGGAGGCAGCAGUAGGGAAUUUUUCACAAUGGACGAAAGUCUGAUGAAGCAAUGCCGCGUGAGUGAUGACGGCCUUCGGGUUGUAAAGCUCUGUUGUAAGGGAAGAAAAAAUUUGAGAGGAAAUGCUCUUAUCUUGACGGUACCUUACCAGAAAGCCACGGCUAACUAUGUGCCAGCAGCCGCGGUAAUACAUAGGUGGCAAGCGUUAUCCGGAUUUAUUGGGCGUAUAGGGUGCGUAGGCGGUUUCGCAAGUUUGAGGUUAAAGCCCGGAGCUCAACUCCGGUUCGCCUUGAAAACUGUGGGACUAGAAUAUCAGAGAGGUAAACGGAAUUCCAUGUGUAGCGGUAAAAUGCGUAGAUAUAUGGAAGAACACCAGUGGCGAAAGCGGUUUACUGGCUGAUUAUUGACGCUGAGGCACGAAAGCGUGGGGAGCAAAUAGGAUUAGAUACCCUAGUAGUCCACGCCGUAAACGUUGAGUACUAAGUAUUGGGGAUUACCUCAGUGCUGCAGCUAACGCAUUAAGUACUCCGCCUGAGUAGUAUGCUCGCAAGAGUGAAACUCAAAGGAAUUGACGGGGACCCGCACAAGUGGUGGAGCAUGUGGUUUAAUUCGAAGCAACACGAAGAACCUUACCAGGGCUUGACAUCCAGUGCAAAGCUACAGAGAUGUAGUGGAGGUAAACAUUGAGACAGGUGGUGCAUGGUUGUCGUCAGUUCGUGCCGUGAGGUGUUGGGUUAAGUCCCGCAACGAACGCAACCCUUGUCGUUAGUUACUAACAUUAAGUUGAGGACUCUAACGAGACUGCUAGUGUAAGCUAGAGGAAGGUGGGGAUGACGUCAAAUCAUCAUGCCCCUUAUGUCCUGGGCUACACACGUGCUACAAUGGCUGGUACAAAGAGUCGCAAUCUCGCGAGGGGGAGCUAAUCUCAAAAAACCAGUCUCAGUUCGGAUUGAAGUCUGCAACUCGACUUCAUGAAGCCGGAAUCACUAGUAAUCGCGGAUCAGCUAUGCCGCGGUGAAUACGUUCUCGGGUCUUGUACACACCGCCCGUCAAACCACGAGAGUUGGUAAUACCAGAAGUACGUAGCCUAACCGUAAGGAAGGCGCGUCCCAAGGUAGGACUAGCGAUUGGGGUUAAGUCGUAACAAGGUAUCCGUACGGGAACGUGCGGAUGGAUCA